GUUGUUGCUUCAGCACCACAAAUAAUAAAAUUAGAACAAUACAGAGAAGAUUACCAUGGCCCUGAGCAAGAUGACAUGCAAACUCACAAAAUAUUACAUAUUUCU
Small nuclear RNA from Hippopotamus amphibius kiboko, 105 nucleotides. NCBI's taxonomy places the organism in Eukaryota, Metazoa, Chordata, Mammalia, Artiodactyla, Hippopotamidae. The record is from RefSeq and is a predicted model, not a curated record.